UACAGAGGUCUCAAGCGUUGUUCGGAUUCAUUGGGCGUAAAGGGUGCGUAGGUGGCGCGCUAAGUCGGGUGUGAAAUCUCGGAGCUUAACUCCGAAAUUGCAUUCGAUACUGGCGUGCUUGAGGACUGGAGAGGAGACUGGAAUUCAUGGUGUAGCAGUGAAAUGCGUAGAGAUCAUGAGGAAGACCAGUGGCGAGGGCGGGUCUCUGGACAGUUCCUGACACUGAGGCACGAAGGCCAGGGGAGCAAACGGG
Molecule: ribosomal RNA, 253 nt
Filed under: uncultured bacterium
Lineage: Bacteria
Description: partial 16S ribosomal RNA
Rfam family: Bacterial small subunit ribosomal RNA
Source: RNAcentral